AGCGAACGCUGGCGGCAGGCCUAACACAUGCAAGUCGAACGAACCUUUCGGGGUUAGUGGCGGACGGGUGAGUAACCCGUGGGAACGUGCCUUUAGGUUCGGAAUAACUCAGGGAAACUUGUGCUAAUACCGAAUGUGCCCUUCGGGGGAAAGAUUAAUCGCCUUUAGAGCGGCCCGCGUCUGAUUAGCUAGUUGGUUGAGGUAAUGGCUCACCAAGGCGACGAUCAGUAGCUGGUCUGAGAGGAUGAUCAGCCACAUUGGGACUGAGACACGGCCCAAACUCCUACGGGAGGCAGCAGUGGGGAACCUUGCGAAAUCGGCGAAGGCCUGACGCAGCCAUGCCGCGUGAAUGAUGAAGGUCUUAGGAUUGUAAAAUUCUUUCACCGGGGACGAUAAUGACGGUACCCGGAGAAGAAGCCCCGGCUAACUUCGUG
RNAcentral lists this ribosomal RNA (434 nucleotides) under uncultured bacterium. RNAcentral describes it as "partial 16S ribosomal RNA". It matches the Rfam family "Bacterial small subunit ribosomal RNA", at positions 29 to 507 of the family's 1533-position model. The record is from RNAcentral.